RNAcentral lists this transfer RNA (85 nucleotides) under Microbacterium sp. ZXX196. It matches the Rfam family "tRNA". Rfam says of the family: Transfer RNA (tRNA) molecules are approximately 80 nucleotides in length. Their secondary structure includes four short double-helical elements and three loops (D, anti-codon, and T loops). Further hydrogen bonds mediate the characteristic L-shaped molecular structure. tRNAs have two regions of fundamental functional importance: the anti-codon, which is responsible for specific mRNA codon recognition, and the 3' end, to which the tRNAs corresponding amino acid is attached (by aminoacyl-tRNA synthetases). tRNAs cope with the degeneracy of the genetic code in two manners: having more than one tRNA (with a specific anti-codon) for a particular amino acid; and 'wobble' base-pairing, i.e. permitting non-standard base-pairing at the 3rd anti-codon position. Lineage: Bacteria; Bacillati; Actinomycetota; Actinomycetes; Micrococcales; Microbacteriaceae. RNAcentral also lists the same sequence under 1 other name. The record is from Rfam by way of RNAcentral.
GGAGGGUUGUCCGAGCGGCCGAAGGAUCUGGUCUUGAAAACCAGCAAGCAGAAAUGCUUCGUGGGUUCGAAUCCCACACCCUCCG